RNAcentral lists this RNase P RNA (378 nucleotides) under Zetaproteobacteria bacterium. Its description in RNAcentral is "RNase P RNA component class A". It matches the Rfam family "Bacterial RNase P class A". Rfam says of the family: Ribonuclease P (RNase P) is a ubiquitous endoribonuclease, found in archaea, bacteria and eukarya as well as chloroplasts and mitochondria. Lineage: Bacteria; Pseudomonadati; Pseudomonadota; Candidatius Mariprofundia. The record is from RNAcentral.
GGAGUGGUCCAGGGCGAUCGCGGCGGCGAUACGCCGUCGAGGAAAGUCCGGGCUGCACAGAGCGAGGAUGCCGGGUAACACCCGGUGGGGGCGACCCCGAGGAGAGUGCCACAGAGAGGAGACCGCCGGACCCGGCGCACCCCGCGUCCGGUAAGGGUGAAACGGUGCGGUAAGAGCGCACCGCCCCGCACGGUAACGGGCGGGGGCACGGCAAACCCCAUCCGCAGCAAGGCCGAAUAGGGAAGCAGAUGGCGUUGCUCGCGCCGGCUUCCGGGUUGGCCGCUAGAGCCGGCGGGCAACCGUCGGCCCAGAUGAAUGAUCGCCUCCCGCCGCUGCGGCGGCGGAAGACAGAACCCGGCUUACCGGGCCACUCCGCCC